CAAUAGCGUAUAUUAAGGUUGUUGCAGUUAAAAAGCUCGUAGUUGGAUUUGUGGCGUACGGUGUGUUCCGGGCACUUGUUGUCUGAGUAACCUGCUGUUGCCAUCCUUGGGUGGAACCUGUGUGGCAUUAGGUUGUCGUGCAGGGGAUGCCCAUCAUUUACUGUGAAAAAAUUAGAGUGUUCAAAGCAGGCUUAUGCCGUUGAAUAUAUUAGCAUGGAAUAAUGAGAUAGGACUUUCUUGCUAUUUUGUUGGUUUGCGCAAAGAGGUAAUGAUUAAUAGGGACAGUUGGGGGUAUUCGUAUUCCAUUGUCAGAGGUGAAAUUCUUGGAUUUUUGGAAGACGAACUACUGCGAAAGCAUUUACCAAGGAUGUUUUCAUUAA
Molecule: ribosomal RNA, 380 nt
Filed under: uncultured eukaryote
Lineage: Eukaryota
Description: partial 18S ribosomal RNA
Rfam family: Eukaryotic small subunit ribosomal RNA
Source: RNAcentral